Molecule: long non-coding RNA, 1409 nt
Filed under: Sus scrofa (pig)
Lineage: Eukaryota; Metazoa; Chordata; Mammalia; Artiodactyla; Suidae
Description: lncRNA (ENSSSCG00050037704.1)
Source: RNAcentral
GUUUCCGUGAGCUGUGUUGUAGGUUGCAGACCCGGCUCGGAUCCCGCGUUGCGGUGGCUCUGGUGUAGGCCGGUGGAUACAGAUCCGAUUUGACCCCUAGCCUGGGAACCUCCAUAUGCCGCGGGAGAGGCCCAAAGAAAUAGCAACAACAACAACAACAAAAAGACAAAAAGACAAAAAAAAAAAAAAAAAAAAAAAAAAAAAAAGUGGGGCCAACAUGGUCCCAGCCCUCUGAAUUUUUGACAGCUCCUCUUAAAACCAUUUUAUGAAUAUUUUCAGACAGAUGCGCAGAAGUAGAAUAGUACAGUGAAUCGCCCACCACUUAGGUUCAACAAUUAUCCAGACUUGGCUUCAUCUAGCCUCUACUUUUUUGGGGAUCCUGUCUGAAUUUGGGGAGACAGGAAUUAUUACAUCAGCUGCCCUGGUGUUCUGAGCAUGCCCUGAACUGUGUAUACCCUUGGAGGUUUUUUGUUUUUAUUCAGAGCAGCUUGAUGUAUUAUCAUAUAUCGUGAGCAAGUGUCUUUUCCUGCGUGUAUAUGAAAGGGAUCACAGAUCCUUCUAGGUCUUGCGAUUGCAUUGCUUUUAUUGCUGGCUUCCUCUGGCACCAUGUUGACUGUUUCCCGCUCAGUCCUUCCUCAAGGGAGGAGGUUCCCACAGCCGUGGAAGGGACCAGUUCUCCGGCAGCCCAUUGCUCCAGUCCGUUGGUGGUCACCGGACUAUCUGCUUUCUUUUGUAAGGAUGCAGCGAAUCCCUGCUCCUCCUCCCCAGGUGAGAAAUGACCGUCUCCAUCAAUCGUCGCUUUUCCUGGAUCUCCUCAUAGACAGGAUGGGAGGUCCCCUCCCUGGCAGACCCUCCCCGUCCCGUGAAUCGUCUCUCAGCCUGUCUCGGAGCUGGGCUUCUUUCCUGUUCCUUGCUGAAGAGACAAGAUGUGGGCAAAUUGGAACAAGAGGUGGGGGAGGAGCCACCUUCUGUGAUCCCGUCUGGACAUUAAGAAGCGCUUCUCCAAGAAUCUGGAACUGGCUGCCAGCUGUUUUGUUCAUGACUGCUCAUAGGAGGCCCUUGACAAAGGUAAGUUGCCUGAAUGAACGACUACUGUGUACAGGUGGGUACAGGUAUUAACUUUCUAUUCCUGACGGCAUUUUACAGAGGAGGGGCUGGAAGUAUCCUAAGUGUCAGAGCUGGGAUUUGAACCCAGGGUGGACGUCUUCUACUGGCAAGUGUUUCUCUGAUUUCCCUCUUCGCCUGGAGUAUGCACGUCUAGAAUGGCCCGGAAGUGAGUUCAUCCAUCCUGCACCCCUGGUCAGGUGCUUCCCACCUCCCUGGCCCAGGGCCUCGAGGUCCCCGUGUUCGCGUCUCAGGUGUGCCAGCUCUGCCGCGGUCCCAGGCCCUGGGAACGGGUUGGCUUGCGG